UGGACAGAUUACUGUAUUUGACUGUAUUCAUGGCGUGAAAAAGGGGAUUACACUGUUUUUAAACGGAAAGUGUAUCAAUUAACAUAAUAGACUUCU
Nicotiana sylvestris (wood tobacco) is the source of this 96-nucleotide non-coding RNA. The record is from Rfam. NCBI's taxonomy places the organism in Eukaryota, Viridiplantae, Streptophyta, Magnoliopsida, Solanales, Solanaceae.